Long non-coding RNA from Scylla paramamosain (green mud crab), 1762 nucleotides. RefSeq lists it as uncharacterized. Lineage: Eukaryota; Metazoa; Arthropoda; Malacostraca; Decapoda; Portunidae. The record is from RefSeq and is a predicted model, not a curated record. The transcript has 2 exons.
CAUUAAGGCAGUUAUUUCUUCUGAAGACUGUGUGCAGAACCGUUGUGAAGGGCGACGUAGGUGCCGGGACAACAUGGAACAUUGGAGCCCAGCGGAGAGGUUGAUUGCCGAUCCCGGAGCAUCCACGGCGAUACUAGUGGAAACAUUGGUUACAAGACAUGACCAGGAUUGAGGAUGCUUACCAACCACGUGUCCCAGAAUCUAAACGCAGAUGCUCGAGUUCUUGAUUUCGGCAGAGGAAGAGGUGUUUCAUCCACUGUGUGCUCGGUGCUGCUUGUGAAAGUGGAGAGCGACCAAGGUUCGGAAUGUUCCUCGGUAAUGCUUGUUUCAAGUAAGAAAUGCUGCAUUUGUGGUCUGUCCAAGCAUCCAUGGUUCAGGCGUCCUGCUCGUGGCGCAAUCUGCAACGUGUCGGAAGAAUGGGUGUCACACUAGUGGUGCGGUGCCACCACACUGAAGAAAGCUCUUAACUUCUAAGGAAAAAGUUAUGGCAAAUUAUGAUUACCGUCCAAGAAAACAAUGCAUAGAGGCCAGAAAUCGGGUAUUAGGAUUUAUUUUUGGUUGUUAAAAACUCCCUAAGUAAGAGUUAUAAUUGACGCUGGUCAGAGCUCCAGAUUAUGCUGUGCAGUUCUGGUCCCCAUAUUACAAGGAUAGGUCUGUUAGAAUAGGUACAAAAAAGACUAAAAGAAAAGAGGAUGAAGGGUAUUUCUUAGAGAGGAGGAUGUAACCUUUAAAUUUACACCCAUUAGAGAGGAGUAGGUUAAGAGGACGCGAGAGGUCUUUAGCAGCGUAGAAUGAGAAAUAACGAGUGGAAACUUGAAAAGUUGGUUUGAGAUAACGAGGUAAUUCCCAGGUGAAUGGAAUGAACUAGAUUCAAUAAUCAGGUUGAGUGCUUAGGGAGCUUUAAAAUUCUAGGUUAAAGAUUUAUGAAUGGUGAUGAUUGGUGGAAAUAAGCAUGUUGCAUAUAGUGACUGCCACGUGUAUGUACAGCUUCCCGUAGUUUCAUGUGUUCUUGUACAAAAUAUCCUAACAGAGAUACCAGUGUUCCUGAAGUACCACGCUCCCCCGACUGAUCAAGCGUUAUGAGGGGACUACACUAGACGGGCGGCGAGCACAAAGGACGGAAUCCAGAAGCUGUGGAUGACACUACGGCUCCACAAACACCCUUGCAGCAGAGAUGAUGGGUGAUGAACCCUCCCGAGAUUAUAUACUUUUAUUAAUAGGGAUUGUAAUAUUGUUUCAUCUUUAUCAUUUAGUGUCCUUGUAAAGCCUUUGUUCUUGGUUUCAGAUCUUAUUUCGGAUCAGAAUUAAAUACUGGGUUGUACUGAUUGUUACACGCUUCAGAAUGGCUUGAGGAAUCACCUUUUAUCUAAACACUGACCCACAAUUUUCAUGACUACAGCUGCUCACUUCCUCGUGCAGGUGUAUCCAAGACAGGGCAGACGUGUACUACAUUAGGACAAGUAGGAGCAAGGUGUUCUUACCAAGGUUUAAAAAUUUAAUAUCUUGCUACAGGUGCUGCCAUUACUGAAGGGAGAAGUAAACCAGUGUGUGCUGCCAACAAUCCCCAUCCUGCUGCAGAAAGCUUUGUUGUACUGGGAGAUUGGAUGCUAUCCUCUGCCUCGCUUCACCUUCCAGGGAGGGAGGAGGGAUACUCAACUCUAUCCUGUCAAUACGUUGCCGCACUGUCCGGUUAUCCCCUCCUUGUCCCGUGAAUGUACCUACAUGCAUUGUAUAAUAAAAAUAAUAAAUUACGAGAUUAAUA